GACGAACGCUGGCGGCGUGCUUAACACAUGCAAGUCGAACGGAAAGGCCCUGCUUUUGUGGGGUGCUCGAGUGGCGAACGGGUGAGUAACACGUGAGUAACCUGCCCUUGACUUUGGGAUAACUUCAGGAAACUGGGGCUAAUACCGGAUAGGAGCUCCUGCUGCAUGGUGGGGGUUGGAAAGUUUCGGCGGUUGGGGAUGGACUCGCGGCUUAUCAGCUUGUUGGUGGGGUAGUGGCUUACCAAGGCUUUGACGGGUAGCCGGCCUGAGAGGGUGACCGGGCACAUUGGGACUGAGAGACGGACCAGAAUCCUACGGGAGGCAGCGGUGGGGAAUAUUGCACAAUGGGGGGAAGCCUGAUGCAGCAACGCCGCGUGCGGGAUGACGGCCUUCGGGUUGUAAACCGCUUUCGCCUGUGACGAAGCGUGAGUGACGGUAAUGGGUAAAGAAGCACCGGCUAACUACGUG
Molecule: ribosomal RNA, 468 nt
Filed under: uncultured bacterium
Lineage: Bacteria
Description: partial 16S ribosomal RNA
Rfam family: Bacterial small subunit ribosomal RNA
Source: RNAcentral